GUGACGCCCUCGGGGAGGCCGUGACGCAGGGGGCGGGGUCCGGGCGCGCCCCGCCCUGCCGCUUCACCUCCCCUCCACCCGGGUCCCAGGCCGCGCCACACGGGGCUCGCUCCCUGGCCUCUGAGCCGGCGGGGCGGCUGGUCUCCUUCCUCCUGCCUCGGCGGGGGCCGCUCUCCCUGGGCAACCUGGGGCAGGGCCUAGGAAGGCCUCUUCCUGCGCCCCUACUCCAGCCUGGAGGAUGGAGAUCCGGCUGCCGCCAAGAGUGUAAAUAGCUAUAUGUGGCUAUCAUAUUGGCCAGCCACAAUGGGGAGAUGAUGGAGAGGCGUGCUACUUAAGGUCAUGGAUCCCCAGGACGGCCAGCCAGAAAGGACACUGACUCCAACUCCGCCUUUUUGCAAGGGGUGAACAGCCACCAUGAAGAAGGACACCAUUUGUGGCCUCAGGAGCCAGUCUUGCUGACGCUCACGUAGUGGAAACUCCCUUGGUAGUACUGGGGGUCGCUGCCUCCCAACACCACCUCUCCUCCAAGCAAGUGGGAAUUCCUAGAGGGAAGAUCAGAGCUCUUGAAGACCCGUGACCUCUGAGACCCAGCACCCCAGCAACGAGGGACGUUGGGCAUGGGGACCAGGGGUGGGGGAGCAGAGGAAGGCGGGAGGACGGCAAGGCUGGGAAGCCGCAGAAACACUUCUCCACCGCUCCUGCCCCUCCCCAAGCCCAACCAGACGUGGUUCCAGAAUAAUCCAGCUGCACUUGAUAAAACAUCCCCAGCAAGGUCACGGCAAAGGAACCAAUGCCAGGACAGUGAGUGGAGAGCAAGAUGACGAUUGCCCCCCGCACUUGGGUGUUCUGGAAGGGCAGGGACUCUUUUGUACACUGUGUUCGUGGCUGCACCCCAGAACCUCCCGUGAUGCUUGGCACGUGAGCUCGCGAUAUUUGUUGAAUCAAUGGAUGAGCAAAUAAA
Molecule: long non-coding RNA, 961 nt
Organism: Suricata suricatta (meerkat)
Lineage: Eukaryota; Metazoa; Chordata; Mammalia; Carnivora; Herpestidae
Exons: 5
Source: RefSeq, a predicted model, not a curated record